CUACGGGUCGCUCCAGUGGGGAAUAUUGCACAAUGGAGGAAACUCUGAUGCAGCAACGCCGCGUGGAGGAUGACACUUUUCGGAGCGUAAACUCCUUUUAUAUAGGAAGAAGAUGACGGUACUAUAUGAAUAAGCGCCGGCUAACUCCGUGCCAGCAGCCGCGGUAAUACGGAGGGCGCAAGCGUUACUCGGAAUCACUGGGCGUAAAGAGCGUGUAGGCGGAUUAAAAAGUCAGAAGUGAAAUCCUAUAGCUUAACUAUAGAACUGCUUCUGAAACUCUUAAUCUAGAAUAUGGGAGAGGUAGAUGGAAUUUCUGGUGUAGGGGUAAAAUCCGUAGGGAUCAGAAGGAAUACCGUUUGCGAAGGCGAUCUACUAGAACAUUAUUGACGCUGGGACGCGAAAGCGUGGGGAGCAAACAGGAUUAGAUACCCGCGUAGUC
This 439-nucleotide ribosomal RNA is filed under the name uncultured bacterium. RNAcentral's name for it is "partial 16S ribosomal RNA". It matches the Rfam family "Bacterial small subunit ribosomal RNA", at positions 339 to 795 of the family's 1533-position model. The record is from RNAcentral.